AUCAACAAAUCACUCGGAUUUCGUAUUCAACGCGGAUCGUCUGAUGCGGCUUGUAAUUGAAGAAUGUCUCAAUCAUCUUCCAUUCACUGAGCACACAGUUACCACACCAACAGGCUUCAAAUAUGAAGGAAUUCAAUUUAAUCGUGGAAAUUGUGGAGUAUCGUUGUGUAGAAGUGGAGAGGCGAUGGAAGUUUCAUUGAGACAGUGUUGUCGGUGUAUUCGAAUUGGAAAAAUUCUGAUUGGUACGGGAAAUUGAGGAUAUCGAGAGGAAUUUGGGAAAUUUCCUAGAAAAGGCGAAGAAAAUUGAGAAAUAUAGAAGAAAAUGGCGAAAAAUCACCAAAAUCAUUGCGAUUUUCAUCAAUUUCUCCCUGAAAUUACCUGGAAUCUCUUAUAAAUGCAGAUUUCUGCUUGAAAAAUGGAAAAAUCUGGUGAAUAUCCAGUUUUUAUAGAUUUUCUCCUGAAUACCCCUCAAAAUCUGUGAAAAGUCUGACUUUUCCUUCAAAAAUACCUCUAAUUCGUAGAGAAACUCGUUUUUUCAGCCGAAAAAUGUUUUUUUUUUUAAAUCUGUAAUAAAUAUGUACUGUUCUUAUGGUAAAAUUCCUGAAAAAUAUAUUAAAAAUAUAUAUAAUAGUAAAAUUUGCGUUUUUACCCAGAAAAGUGGUAGAAAUCGUGAGUUUUACUGAGUUUGUCGAAAACUGGCGAUACUUUUUUAAAAGAAAAACCUCAAAACUCGCAAAAUUUCCAAUUUUCAUCCACUUUUUGUUACAGGCGACGAACAAAAAGUGCUCUACGCCAGGCUUCUUCCGGAUAUCACGUCGCGUCGAGUUCUACUGCUCUACCCAACGAUAGGG
Molecule: small RNA, 851 nt
Filed under: Caenorhabditis elegans
Lineage: Eukaryota; Metazoa; Nematoda; Chromadorea; Rhabditida; Rhabditidae
Description: Unclassified non-coding RNA C47B2.10
Source: RNAcentral